CUUUGUAGGGAAUUCCGAGACAAAUGCGUAACCGCUGACGGCUCAUCAAUCGGAGCUUUGGAUUGAAAGUUAUGGCGAAUUGAAAUUGGAACAAGGGUUUUAGAUCCUCCUUCUAAGA
Arachis ipaensis is the source of this 118-nucleotide non-coding RNA. NCBI's taxonomy places the organism in Eukaryota, Viridiplantae, Streptophyta, Magnoliopsida, Fabales, Fabaceae. The record is from RefSeq and is a predicted model, not a curated record.